UAGGGAAUCUUCGGCAAUGGACGAAAGUCUGACCGAGCAACGCCGCGUGAGUGAAGAAGGUUUUCGGAUCGUAAAACUCUGUUGUUAGAGAAGAACAAGGACGUUAGUAACUGAACGUCCCCUGACGGUAUCUAACCAGAAAGCCACGGCUAACUACGUGCCAGCAGCCGCGGUAAUACGUAGGUGGCAAGCGUUGUCCGGAUUUAUUGGGCGUAAAGCGAGCGCAGGCGGUUUCUUAAGUCUGAUGUGAAAGCCCCCGGCUCAACCGGGGAGGGUCAUUGGAAACUGGGAGACUUGAGUGCAGAAGAAGAGAGUAGAAUUCCAUGUGUAGCGGUGAAAUGCGUAGAUAUAUGGAGGAACACCAGUGGCGAAGGCGGCUCUCUGGUCUGUAACUGACGCUGAGGCUCGAAAGCGUGGGGAGCAAACAGU
This 429-nucleotide ribosomal RNA is filed under the name Gemmatimonadota bacterium. RNAcentral describes it as "Gemmatimonadetes bacterium partial 16S ribosomal RNA". It matches the Rfam family "Bacterial small subunit ribosomal RNA", at positions 355 to 776 of the family's 1533-position model. Lineage: Bacteria; Pseudomonadati; Gemmatimonadota. The record is from RNAcentral.